GAUGAACGCUGGCGGCGUGCUUAACACAUGCGAGUCGAACGAUGAACCUCACUUGUGGGGGGAUUAGUGGCGAACGGGUGAGUAACACGUGAGUAACCUGCCCUUGACUCUGGGAUAAGCCUGGGAAACCGGGUCUAAUACUGGAUACGACCUUCUGGCGCAUGCCAUGUUGGUGGAAAGCUUUUGUGGUUUUGGAUGGACUCGCGGCCUAUCAGCUUGUUGGCGGGGUAAUGGCCUACCAAGGCGACGACGGGUAGCCGGCCUGAGAGGGUGACCGGCCACACUGGGACUGAGACACGGCCCAGACUCCUACGGGAGGCAGCAGUGGGGAAUAUUGCACAAUGGGCGCAAGCCUGAUGCAGCGACGCCGCGUGAGGGAUGAAGGCCUUCGGGUUGUAAACCUCUUUCAGUAGGGAAGAAGCCGGCUUUUGGGUUGGUGACGGUACCUGCAGAAGAAGCGCCGGCUAACUACGUG
This 475-nucleotide ribosomal RNA is filed under the name uncultured bacterium. Its description in RNAcentral is "partial 16S ribosomal RNA". It matches the Rfam family "Bacterial small subunit ribosomal RNA", at positions 28 to 507 of the family's 1533-position model. The record is from RNAcentral.